This 231-nucleotide ribosomal RNA is filed under the name uncultured fungus. RNAcentral's name for it is "partial 18S ribosomal RNA". It matches the Rfam family "Eukaryotic small subunit ribosomal RNA", at positions 40 to 274 of the family's 1831-position model. The record is from RNAcentral. Lineage: Eukaryota; Fungi.
AAGAUUAAGCCAUGCAUGUCUAAGUAUAAACAAAUCUAUACUGUGAAACUGCGAAUGGCUCAUUAAAUCAGUUAUAGUUUAUUUGAUAAUACUUUACUACAUGGAUAACCGUGGUAAUUCUAGAGCUAAUACAUGCUAAAAAUCCCGACUUCGGAAGGGAUGUAUUUAUUAGAUAAAAACCAAUGCCCUUCGGGGCUCCUUGGUGAUUCAUAAUAACUCAACGAAUCGCAU